UACGAAGGGGGCUAGCGUUGUUCGGAAUUACUGGGCGUAAAGCGUGCGCAGGCGGCUUCUCAAGUCAGGGGUGAAAGCCCAGAGCUUAACUCUGGAAUUGCCUUUGAGACUGAGAGGCUUGAGUACGGGAGAGGUGAGUGGAAUUCCCAGUGUAGAGGUGAAAUUCGUAGAUAUUGGGAAGAACACCGGUGGCGAAGGCGGCUCACUGGCCCGUAACUGACGCUCAUGCACGACAGCGUGGGGAGCGAACAGG
This 253-nucleotide ribosomal RNA is filed under the name uncultured bacterium. RNAcentral's name for it is "partial 16S ribosomal RNA". It matches the Rfam family "Bacterial small subunit ribosomal RNA", at positions 524 to 776 of the family's 1533-position model. The record is from RNAcentral.